AGGUUUUGUAUUUCGUUUUUUUACU
RNAcentral lists this microRNA (25 nucleotides) under Pristionchus pacificus. Its description in RNAcentral is "ppc-miR-8327-5p". The record is from miRBase by way of RNAcentral. Lineage: Eukaryota; Metazoa; Nematoda; Chromadorea; Rhabditida; Neodiplogasteridae.